This is a long non-coding RNA of Ruditapes philippinarum (Manila clam), 5622 nucleotides long. RefSeq lists it as uncharacterized. The record is from RefSeq and is a predicted model, not a curated record. The transcript is spliced from 2 exons. Lineage: Eukaryota; Metazoa; Mollusca; Bivalvia; Venerida; Veneridae.
ACAAAUGCACUACGAAUGUUUUAAUUUCAUACAUUUUCAUUAUAUAAACAAUUUAUUUCUUGUAAAAUUUGAGAUAUAUAUUAAAGCAACAUUGAAAUGAUUUUCAAACACCUCAAGUUUUUCCACCUCAAACGAUAAAAUAAUGAUAGAAAAAUAGAAAUAUCGGGUGUUAUUUUCCAGAGCUAAAUCCGUAACGUACCGGAAAACGGCGUUUAGCUAAGUUUUCAAAAAGGUCAAUAAACCAAUCAUGUACGGGGUUAACAGAUCACGUGCUCCUCCAUGUACCGAAAACAGGUCACGUGCUCCUCCAUGCCUCUAAAAUUAAUGGCACAGGCUCCAGUCCGCAAGGAAUGACAUUUAGCGCUAAAGCAAGACGCAAUCAAAUGCAGAAGUUCUAUAUUUCGAGGUAGGUUUUGUUUAGAACAGUCCCUAGAGCAUCAUAUAUUCUACUUAAACCGGGAAAUAUUACAGUCAUCAGGUCUUGUCGAGUAAUUCUAUAGAUAUUUAACUCUGUUAUUUCAUCCCAUAACUUCUUAAAAGAUAAAGAUUGAUUCUAAAAUUAUCACACACAAUUUAUUCAAACAUCAAAAAAGGCUCUCGUUGGAGUGUUUGCCUUUUUUUAUAUUUCGUGCAUACGAAUUGUAAUUGUUUCUUUUUUUGUACAAACUACUUCUAGAUAAUUUCUUGAUUUUGAAAAACUUAAAAACGAUGAUAGUGGAAACUGUCAAACUACGUAUACAAUUUAAUGCCAUUACUUAAUAGCUUUAUCUCUAAAUCAAUAAAAUUCAGGGCAGGAAAUUUGAAACUUCAAAAUCUGUCAAAUGUGGAAUUAUUAAUAAAGCUUUAUACUUGCUAUGUUAUAGUUACGGAGUCAUUCUGUUUGAAUGUUACGAUAUUUUGUGUGUUUAUUCGGCUAUGUAUCUCGAAGACGAAUCUGUAUGUCAGAGACUUUGACCUUCUCUGACAGACUAAAUCCGUCCGUCCACAAAUGAUCUUAAGAUUAAAUACAACCUUAUCAUAUUUUGAAUUUUAUUUUACAAAUCGCGUUCCAAUAGGCAUUUUAAGUGCACUUCAAAGCCUUUGGUGCACAUCUUAAUUAAACAGAAAAGAAAUGUUUCAUUUAUACCUGCAAUAUCAUAAUUAAAAGCCUAUUGCGCACCUUUCUCGCUAAAUAAAAACAUAUUUGAACUGUGAAAUACUGUCAUUUCUAUAGAUAAAGAAUAUUUAAAUGAUGUUGUACCACAACUUAAACAUAUUACAGUAUAUGCUUUAUAACAUUCUUAUGUAUUAAGGCAUCCAAGAAAAGUUUCUUUUUCUUAGAAGUAAGUCCUAACUUACACUGGACAUACAACACAGCUGCAGACAACAAUUCUUCAAACGAAUGCCAAUAACCACAUCAUGAAUAGAAAAUCGUAAUUUAUCUAGCAUGUCAUAAAUAGAAAUAUAUAUUUGUAUUGCAAUUCUGAUUACCAUUACAAAUGACUUGAUUUUUGUAUAUUCUCUCAAUAUGAUUGCUUGUAGUCAGCGUGCAUUUGCUCAUUUUGUAAGGUCAUCUGUGGACUAUAUUGAAGUAAAAGAGAUAUUAUAUUUCUAUCAUGUUUCGUUUAGGAGAGAUUAAUUCUGUCCGAACCAUUUACAUACACAAUCAUUUAGAUUUGCAAACAUGUGCAGAAAUAGAAUGUCAUGCUUAUGAAUAAUCGGUAUGCUAAAAACUAAAAUAAAAUAUCAAUGUCGACCUGAAGAGAUAAUUCGAAAGAUAUCGUUUGCAAAUUUGGUCUCAUUAAAUCACGCCAUCCUUUGUAAAAGUGUUUAAGAAUUGCAAAACAAAAUAUAAUUAGAUAAUUUGUUGCUAUGAAUAUUAUGAAAUACAAAAUCUGCUUGACAGUAUGAAAGAUGUCAAAAUAUUCAAAAUAAUAUAUUAAGUUUCAAACUACUUUAUUAAAUUUUGUGGCAUUAAAUACCCAACUGAAACACAUACUUAUAAGCAAUAAUGUACCAAAUAAUUUCUUAUUGACGUGUAUAACGCAUACUCAUUGGAUUAAUUUCAAAACCAUUCCAAACAAAAUUAAAACUGAACAAAAAGGAAAUAAGACCCACAAUAAACCAUUUUGUGACAUUGUAUGAAGCCAAGGUUCGCGUCAUUACUCGUGAAAUCUGUUUAAAACACAAUCUAUCAUGGCGCAUCUGUUUAUUCAGAUGAAAUUUCUUGCCAGAGAAAUUGAUAAAUAUACACAUUCCUUCACUGAAUACGAGCACGGCUAAGCUACCCGGAUAUCGGGGAUGUACGGCGGAUCAAAAGUUCAAUCCUGGAUAUACGGUGCUGUUGGCGCUUCUCCUCGUACAUUAUAAACACACAUUGUCAACUGACACGCUGAUCAAUAGCUGGAGGACAGUAGGUAAGAUUUAACAACAUUAAUUACCCAGCAAUUGACACGUUUAUGGAAAUACCACGAGCGAGAUUGUCUCGCUUUUUAUUGAACAUAUAUAAGCUGGGGUUAAGGCAAUGAUAAAACUCUCGUGUAUCCCUUGAGUUAAAUAAAAGCUGACACAUUGUAGUAGAUUUAUCGUUUAAUAAAAACAUCUAUAUGAACAAAAAUUAUGAGAAUAUUAAAAUGCAUAAAGCCAAUAUAAGGUUUAUUUUUUUUAUCUAAAGGAUUGUAUUUGAGGAAGCAUAUUUUCCCCUAUUCGAACACCAACUAUAAUCUUUUGGCUUCGUAUCUGUUGCAGAAAGUUGGUGGAUGUUGGUGCUGUAUGAUAAGUGAUAUUUUUAAAUACAAUUUACAUCGUUUUGGACUAUUACACACACCAUACGGUGAUACUUUAACCAAUAUAAUUAUACUGGAAUAACAAAGGUAUUAAUUUGUUGUGUAAAUGUAAUGAACAGAUCCCGAUGACAUAUCGGUAUAUUUAGCUAGUUUUUUUAAUCCUUGUUUAAUUAGAUUUUCUUCAGUAUCAACGUUACCUUUGGUAGCAGUAGGUUUGGGCUGACUAGGACGGGUCAUCUCAACCAUCUUUAAAUUUCCUGUGCUACCUUAAAAACACCAUUCAGAUACCAAAAAACAAGCACAUUAUCGGACACAAUUUCAAAUAUAUCUAGGAAACUAUAAUGUUUAAACUUACCAGAUCUUUUGUUUUAAAAUGUAAUUCUUUUUUCAUGAUACACACAAUAAAAAUAAAGCUAGUAUCAUGACUGAACCUCGUUAAUAUCUAAAUAGUUUGUUUAUAAAUGUUUGACCAUUGUCAACAUCAAUAUUUCCAAUGUCGUCUGCAUAAAAAUCUUUCCCAGAAGAAUAUUUCGAUAUCAGAAUGUUCAGCAUAUUUAGGGUAUCAUGUCACCGGAUAAAUCUCUUGUGACCUUACAAAGAGCACAUGUAAUAACAUCGUGCACAUAUAGUGCAUUUAAUGAUAUAUAGCUGUAUAGAUUGAUUUGCUAGACAUGUUUAUAUAUUAUGUUUCGUUUUAUCUUACGAAUCAUGAAAAGGAUUUAGUAUAAUUGUAUUUAUAUAUAAAUCAAGUGCACUGUAGACUUGAUAGGAAUCUGUAAAAAUCAUACAUUGUUAAGGAGACAUUAUCAUAUCAAAUGAAUAUUUUCUUCUUCUCAAGAAUUACCGGAAUUACGAGUUAGUCUUUAUGCCUUAUAUCUGUCCAAUUUUGGCUUAAAUAGUCUUUGUUUAGAUAGAUCACUUCACUGUUUAACAUGAAACAGCUGGGCUAUUCUUACGCAAGAAUUAUUCUCACGACUUACAGUAAAUCCUACAAAAUACUUGAAUAUAUGUCUAUACAUUAUUCAUAAAUCGCCAAGAUAAAAGCAGGAUUAAGAUGUACAUCAGACGAGAUUGUCUGACCACAAUUUAACUUACAAAUCCUUAAAAUUCCACUCUCUUUCAUCACAUGACCGCUCAAAUUGGAUAAAUGACGGUGUUGCUACAUAGACUAUUAAACAAUUUUGGAAUUUCGGACACAUAACAGGUGAGGAACAAUCAAAUGCAAACGAACAAUAUACAUCAAUAGAAUGGUGAUAAAAUGGUCAAUAGAGGGGGAUUACAGAAUUAUGGACAUAUAUAACAGCUUGCCUGGUAGCCUCUUCCAGCAUAACAUCACAUUAUGGCUUUCAAAAAUGUCGACCAGAAUAUUCAUGUUGCGUUCAUAACAUUAAUUCAAGGAAAGACAACAUUUUAUUUUUAUUUUAGCUCAAUUGAGAAUAAAACUUUAAAUGUAUUUAAAGCAUUGUAGAGUUCGCUUUCUGGAAUUUGUAAGUACUGACGUCAUAUCAGAAAAAGCGGUCGAGGCCCCCAUAGGGAUCGUUCCGAAAGUUACUUUAGUUGAGAGACAGACCCUAAAAACUAGGUGACCACUUCACUGUCGUCUUACUUCAUAUACAUUGUUUUCAUAGAGUCUGGUAACAAUUCUGAUUUAUAAUGCCUGAAAAAUUUCAACUUAGUUCUUAUAAUUGGAAUUUUACAGUUGUAUGAUAUUGUACAAAAUUACCGAUAACACACUUCGUAUAUAUGUAUACAUAUAAAAUAGUUGUUUUUAAAUACUAAUCAGGAGACAAAAAAUGGUCAGAUACGUUUUUAUUUGAAAAUAAAAUCAACCUAAUAUUCGGACAGGUAAACGGCGAAUUGUAUAUCAUUUUAAAUCAGCUUAUCUUUACUUAAGCCAAUGGUGAUGCAUACAUUCUCUAUGCUUUUCACAAAACAUAUAUUUAUGUAGACAGCAACGAGGAAACAAGUGACAAACAUUAGGUACAACACCUUAAAAUGAACGAUUCGAAAACCAUUUCAUCAAGGGAGCGUAAAUUGUUCCUUCCAUAAUCCCCCAUUCGUUCUAUCCAUUUAUUGCGAACAAAAUAAUGUCAAAUUUUGAUCCCCGAUGUCAUUUAUCAAUAGUCCAGUGACAUCUUAAUCGAUUUCUGUGAAAAUGUUACAAAUAUAAGAGUGAUUUAGACCCUUCCGAUUUGUUCCUUAAAAUUGAAAUUAUCAGGAGAUAUCUGAAAAGUAUCCACGUAAUUCCAUUUAAGCCUUUGAAAACCCAUUACGGAGUUUCACAAUUCUGCAAUAUCCAUUCAUCACAAUAAAAUAACUGCGCAUAGAUUGGGACAACACGAGCAUGACGGAAUCCAUGGCCAACUUAUUGCUUUUAAAAUUACGAAAUGUAUCGCAGGUAUGCAAUAAACAGUGAGUUUAAAUCCCCGAAAAGGUGUAUCAAAUUAGGGGUAAACUAUCAUUAUUAUCCUGUUAUGAAACUUUCAUAUUAGAAACAUGUGUAAAAUUAGAAUUUUAUAAACAACUUGAAUCUAUUGUGCAGAUUAGGAGAUAAAAGAGGAAAAAAACAACCUUCAAUAGUUUACAUGGAUACAUGUAUUAUGAAUACAGCACUGAUAUACACUUUAUAUAUAUAUAUAUAUUUAUCAAUAUAUCAAUAUAUAUAUUAUUGUUAUUUUUAUUGUCUAAAUAUAUAAAGGUAAUCUGUAAAUUACAUCAUCGGAAUUACACCAUGUUUAAUGAUUAUUAUUCAAAUCAUAUCAAUAUCAAAAUGCUUAGUUUCCAUUGGCUAUAUUAGUGUUCAUAUACCAUGUUAAUACGUUUACAUUCAAACUUUGAAAUGAAUGGCCUUUUUUUU